AUUCGCCUACGGGAGGCAGCAGUGAGGAAUAUUGGUCAAUGGCCGAGAGGCUGAACCAGCCAAGUCGCGUGAGGGAUGACGGCCCUACGGGUUGUAAACCUCUUUUGUCGGGGAGCAAGACCCGCCACGAGUGGCGGAGCGAGAGUACCCGAAGAAAAAGCAUCGGCUAACUCCGAGCCAGAAGCCGCGGGAAUACGGAGGAUGCGAGCGUUAUCCGGAUUUAUUGGGUUUAAAGGGAGCGCAGGCG
This 247-nucleotide ribosomal RNA is filed under the name uncultured bacterium. Its description in RNAcentral is "partial 16S ribosomal RNA". It matches the Rfam family "Bacterial small subunit ribosomal RNA", at positions 333 to 577 of the family's 1533-position model. The record is from RNAcentral.